Molecule: ribosomal RNA, 253 nt
Filed under: uncultured bacterium
Lineage: Bacteria
Description: partial 16S ribosomal RNA
Rfam family: Bacterial small subunit ribosomal RNA
Source: RNAcentral
UACGUAGGAGGCAAGCGUUGUCCGGAUUUACUGGGCGUAAAGCGCGUGUAGGCGGUUUGCCAAGUCUGCCGUGAAAGCGCCCCGCUUAACGGGGCGAGGUCGGUGGAUACUGGUAGACUGGAGGACGGUAGAGGGGGGUGGAAUUCCCGGUGUAGUGGUGAAAUGCGUAGAUAUCGGGAGGAACACCAGAGGCGAAGGCGGCCCCCUGGGCCGCUCCUGACGCUGAGACGCGAAGGCCAGGGUAGCGAACGGG